UACAAUAUAGUACUUCCUCUCCC
This 23-nucleotide non-coding RNA is filed under the name Arabidopsis thaliana (thale cress). The record is from RNAcentral. Lineage: Eukaryota; Viridiplantae; Streptophyta; Magnoliopsida; Brassicales; Brassicaceae.